Molecule: ribosomal RNA, 253 nt
Filed under: uncultured bacterium
Lineage: Bacteria
Description: partial 16S ribosomal RNA
Rfam family: Bacterial small subunit ribosomal RNA
Source: RNAcentral
UACGGAGGGUGCAAGCGUUAUCCGGAUUCACUGGGUUUAAAGGGUGCGUAGGUGGGUCUGUAAGUCAGUGGUGAAAUCUCCGGGCUUAACCUGGAAACUGCCAUUGAUACUAUAGCUCUUGAAUUUUCUGGAGGUAAGCGAAAUAUGUCAUGUAGCGGUGAAAUGCUUAGAUAUGACAUAGAACACCAAUUGCGAAGGCAGCUUGCUACAGGAACAUUGACACUGAGGCACGAAAGCGUGGGGAUCAAACAGG